RNAcentral lists this ribosomal RNA (464 nucleotides) under uncultured bacterium. RNAcentral describes it as "partial 16S ribosomal RNA". It matches the Rfam family "Bacterial small subunit ribosomal RNA", at positions 28 to 506 of the family's 1533-position model. The record is from RNAcentral.
GACGAACGCUGGCGGCGUGCUUAACACAUGCAAGUCGAACGGAAAGGCCCUGCUUGCAGGGUACUCGAGUGGCGAACGGGUGAGUAACACGUGGGUGAUCUGCCCUGCACUUCGGGAUAAGCCUGGGAAACUGGGUCUAAUACCGGAUAGGAGCCAUUUUUAGUGUGAUGGUUGGAAAGUUUUUUCGGUGUAGGAUGAGCUCGCGGCCUAUCAGCUUGUUGGUGGGGUAAUGGCCUACCAAGGCGGCGACGGGUAGCCGGCCUGAGAGGGUGGACGGCCACAUUGGGACUGAGAUACGGCCCAGACUCCUACGGGAGGCAGCAGUGGGGAAUAUUGCACAAUGGGCGCAAGCCUGAUGCAGCGACGCCGCGUGGGGGAUGACGGCCUUCGGGUUGUAAACUCCUUUCGCUAGGGACGAAGCUUUUUGUGACGGUACCUAGAUAAGAAGCAUCGGCUAACUACGU